UAAAAAGCUCGUAGUUGGAUCUGUGUAUCGGACGGUCGGUUCGCCGCUCGCGGCGUUUAACUGACCGGUCCGGACGUCCUGCCGGUGGGCGCUCCCGGUUCGCGCCGUGGGGCGCCCGUAACUCCCUCCGCGCUGCUCUUAACCGAGUGGUUCGGUGGGCCGGCACGUUUACUUUGAACAAAUUUGAGUGCUCAAAGCAGGCCUUAUGUCGCCUGAAAACUGUGUGCAUGGAAUAAUGGAAUAGGGCCUUGGUUCUAUUUUGUUGGCUUUUCUGAACUCGAGGUAAUGAUUAAUAGGGACAGACGGGGGCAUUCGUAUUGCGACGUUAGAGGUGAAAUUCUUGGAUCGUCGCAAGACGGACCGAUGCGAAAGCGUUUGCCAAGAAUGUUUUCGCUAAUCAAGAACGAAAGUUAGAGGUUCGAAGGCGAUCAGAUACCGCCCUAGUUCUAACCAUAAACGAUGCCAGCCAGCGAUGCGCCGAAGUUCCUCCGAUGACUCGGCGCGCAGCUUCCGGGAAACCAAAGCUUUUGGGUUCCGGGG
RNAcentral lists this ribosomal RNA (540 nucleotides) under Dipteromimus tipuliformis. RNAcentral's name for it is "SSU rRNA". It matches the Rfam family "Eukaryotic small subunit ribosomal RNA", at positions 620 to 1119 of the family's 1831-position model. The record is from RNAcentral. Lineage: Eukaryota; Metazoa; Arthropoda; Insecta; Ephemeroptera; Dipteromimidae.